Molecule: ribosomal RNA, 479 nt
Filed under: uncultured bacterium
Lineage: Bacteria
Description: bacterial SSU rRNA
Rfam family: Bacterial small subunit ribosomal RNA
Source: RNAcentral
AAUCAACGCUGGCGGCGUGCCUAACACAUGCAAGUCGAACGCGAAAGCCCGCAAGGGUAAGUAGAGUGGCGCACGGGUGAGUAACACGUGGACAACCUGCCUUCGAGUGGGGAAUAACCUUCCGAAAGGAGGGCUAAUACCGCAUAACACCUCGGAACACAAGUUCUGGGGUUGAAAAGAGCAAUUUGCUCGAAGAGGGGUCCGCGCCUGAUUAGCUAGUUGGUGAGGUAACGGCUCACCAAGGCUUCGAUCAGUAGCCGUCCUGAGAGGGAGCACGGCCACACUGGAACUGAGACACGGUCCAGACUCCUACGGGAGGCAGCAGUGGGGAAUUUUGGCAAUGGGCGCAAGCCUGACCAAGCAACGCCGCGUGGGUGAUGAAGUAUCUUGGUACGUAAAACCCUUUCGGCAGGGACGAACCUAAUGACGGUACCUGCGGAAGAAGCCCCGGCUAACUCCGUGCCAGCCGCCGCAGUAAU